AACGAACGCUGGCGGCAUGCCUAACACAUGCAAGUCGAACGAGAUCUUCGGGUCUAGUGGCGCACGGGUGCGUAACGCGUGGGAAUCUGCCCUUUGGUUCGGAAUAACAGUUGGAAACGACUGCUAAUACCGGAUGAUGACGAAAGUCCAAAGAUUUAUCGCCAGAGGAUGAGCCCGCGUAGGAUUAGCUAGUUGGUGUGGUAAAGGCGCACCGAGGCGACGAUCCUUAGCUGGUCUGAGAGGAUGAUCAGCCACACUGGGACUGAGACACGGCCAAGACUCCUACGGGAGGCAGCAGUGGGGAAUAUUGGACAAUGGGCGAAAGCCUGAUCCAGCAAUGCCGCGUGAGUGAUGAAGGCCUUAGGGUUGUAAAGCUCUUUUACCCGGGAUGAUAAUGACAGUACCGGGAGAAUAAGCUCCGGCUAACUCCGUGCCAGCCGCCGCGGUAA
This 449-nucleotide ribosomal RNA is filed under the name uncultured bacterium. RNAcentral describes it as "partial 16S ribosomal RNA". It matches the Rfam family "Bacterial small subunit ribosomal RNA", at positions 29 to 523 of the family's 1533-position model. The record is from RNAcentral.